AACGAACGCUGGCGGCAUGCCUAACACAUGCAAGUCGAACGAGACCUUCGGGUCUAGUGGCGCACGGGUGCGUAACGCGUGGGAACCUGCCCGUAGGUUCGGAAUAACUCCCCGAAAGGGGUGCUAAUACCGGUUAAUCUCUUCGGACCAAAGAUUGAGCGCCUUGGGAUGGGCCCGCGUUGGAUUAGCUAGUUGGUAGGGUAAAAGCAUACCAAGGGGACGAUCCAUAGCUGGGCUGAGAGGAUGAUCAGCCACACUGGGACGGAGACACGGCCCAGACUCCUAGGGGAGGCAGCAGUGGGGAAUAUUGGACAAUGGGCGAAAGCCUGAUCCAGCAAUGCCGCGUGAGUGAUGAAGGCCUUAGGGUUGUAAAGCUCUUUUACCCGGGAUGAUAAUGACAGUACCGGGAGAAUAAGCUCCGGCUAACUACGUG
Molecule: ribosomal RNA, 433 nt
Filed under: uncultured bacterium
Lineage: Bacteria
Description: partial 16S ribosomal RNA
Rfam family: Bacterial small subunit ribosomal RNA
Source: RNAcentral